RNAcentral lists this long non-coding RNA (700 nucleotides) under Phoenix dactylifera (date palm). RNAcentral describes it as "long non-coding RNA (PDAC_LNC019271)". The record is from RNAcentral. Lineage: Eukaryota; Viridiplantae; Streptophyta; Magnoliopsida; Arecales; Arecaceae.
GCCCGACCCGACAGGCCCGGUUUUUUCUUUGUUUGGAAUCUAAAAAUGGCCUAAAAUGGCCCAACAGCUUAAUGGGCUCUCUAAAACUGGAUGUAUUUUUCUCCAAUGGUCAAUUGGUUAAUGCUAAGGAUAUAACUAGCCUAUUUCAAAUAGAUAGUGUUGGUGGUGGUUUCAAACUUUGGAAUUUGGAUAUAUCUACAAAUAUUAAAAAAAAAAUUCGCAGCUUCAAGCCAAUAGAAAGAAAAUAAAAUGUAUAAAACACUGUUGUCCAGCUGAAAAUUACAACCCAACAAUAAAAAUUACAAACUUAGACAACUACAUAUUUAGACAAAAUACAAAUUACAUUGUUCCAUUAACAUUAUAACAAUUGUAAAUGUAACCAUAAUUCUUGAAGCCACUUCCAUAAUAGAAAACUGUAGAAGAACAUCUUGCAUCUUCUAACUCUCAAAACCUACAAACACAAAAUUGAAACAUUAGCAAUUGUUAAUGGUUGAACAUGAUUACAUUUCUUAUCCAGUACCUGCCCAAGAUUAAUUUGAUCUCGAAGCAAAAACAAUCUAAAGUAGAUAGUAAACGGUAGAAGGGGUGGUAAGUAACAGUGUAACACAUGAUUUUAUAUGAACUCGUUUAGCUCCAAGGAUCAAAGAGUAGAUCCAGAUUCCAGGGGCAUCUCUCGGGAGCAGAACCAACCUUCGGGCUG